RNAcentral lists this ribosomal RNA (223 nucleotides) under uncultured bacterium. Its description in RNAcentral is "partial 16S ribosomal RNA". It matches the Rfam family "Bacterial small subunit ribosomal RNA", at positions 111 to 334 of the family's 1533-position model. The record is from RNAcentral.
UAACGCGUGAAUAAUCUGCCUACCAGUGGGGGAUAACUAACCGAAAGGUUAGCUAAUACCGCAUGAGGCCACAAUGUCUGCGGACAAAGGGGUGAAAGAUUUAUCGCUGGUAGAUGAGUUUGCGUGGGAUUAGCUAGUUGGUGGGGUAAUGGCCUACCAAGGCAACGAUCUCUAACUGGUCUGAGAGGAUGGCCAGUCACACUGGAACUGAGACACGGUCCAG